UAUGUAGGGUGCGAGCGUUAAUCGGAAUUACUGGGCGUAAAGCGUGCGCAGGCGGCGCGUUAAGACAGGUGUGAAAGCCCCGAGCUUAACUUGGGAAUUGCGCUUGUGACUGGCGUGCUGGAGUGUGGCAGAGGGAGGUGGAAUUCCACGUGUAGCAGUGAAAUGCGUAGAGAUGUGGAGGAACACCGAUGGCGAAGGCAGCCUCCUGGGCCAGCACUGACGCUCAUGCACGAAAGCGUGGGGAGCAAACAGG
This 253-nucleotide ribosomal RNA is filed under the name uncultured bacterium. RNAcentral's name for it is "partial 16S ribosomal RNA". It matches the Rfam family "Bacterial small subunit ribosomal RNA", at positions 524 to 776 of the family's 1533-position model. The record is from RNAcentral.